UACGGGAGGCAGCAGUGAGGAAUAUUGGUCAAUGGACGCGAGUCUGAACCAGCCAAGUAGCGUGAAGGAUGACUGCCCUAUGGGUUGUAAACUUCUUUUAUAUGGGAAUAAAGUGGUCCACGUGUGGACUUUUGUAUGUACCAUAUGAAUAAGGAUCGGCUAACUCCGUGCCAGCAGCCGCGGUAAUACGGAGGAUCCGAGCGUUAUCCGGAUUUAUUGGGUUUAAAGGGAGCGUAGGCGGAUUGUUAAGUCAGUUGUGAAAGUUUGCGGCUCAACCGUAAAAUUGCAGUUGAUACUGGCAGUCUUGAGUGCAGUAGAGGUGGGCGGAAUUCGUGGUGUAGCGGUGAAAUGCUUAGAUAUCACGAAGAACUCCGAUUGCGAAGGCAGCUCACUGGAGUGUAACUGACGCUGAUGCUCGAAAGUGUGGGUAUCAAACAGGAUUAGAUACCCUGGUAGUCCACACAGUAAACGAUGAAUACUCGCUGUUUGCGAUAUACAGUAAGCGGCCAAGCGAAAGCAUUAAGUAUUCCACCUGG
RNAcentral lists this ribosomal RNA (536 nucleotides) under uncultured bacterium. RNAcentral's name for it is "bacterial SSU rRNA". It matches the Rfam family "Bacterial small subunit ribosomal RNA", at positions 340 to 876 of the family's 1533-position model. The record is from RNAcentral.